UAGGGAAUCUUCCACAAUGGACGCAAGUCUGAUGGAGCAACGCCGCGUGAGUGAAGAAGGUUUUCGGAUCGUAAAGCUCUGUUGUUGGUGAAGAAGGAUAGAGGCAGUAACUGGUCUUUAUUUGACGGUAAUCAACCAGAAAGUCACGGCUAACUACGUGCCAGCAGCCGCGGUAAUACGUAGGUGGCAAGCGUUGUCCGGAUUUAUUGGGCGUAAAGCGAGCGUAGGCGGAAUGAUAAGUCUGAUGUGAAAGCCCACGGCUCAACCGUGGAACUGCAUCGGAAACUGUCAUUCUUGAGUGCAGAAGAGGAGAGUGGAAUUCCAUGUGUAGCGGUGGAAUGCGUAGAUAUAUGGAAGAACACCAGUGGCGAAGGCGGCUCUCUGGUCUGCAACUGACGCUGAGGCUCGAAAGCAUGGGUAGCGAACAGG
This 429-nucleotide ribosomal RNA is filed under the name bacterium. RNAcentral's name for it is "partial 16S ribosomal RNA". It matches the Rfam family "Bacterial small subunit ribosomal RNA", at positions 355 to 776 of the family's 1533-position model. The record is from RNAcentral.